AGUGAACGCUGGCGGUAUGCCUAACACAUGCAAGUCGAACGGCAGCACAGGAGAGCCUGCUCUCUGGGUGGCGAGUGGCGGACGGGUGAGGAAUACAUCGGAACCUACGUUUUCGUGGGGGAUGACGUAGGGAAACUUACGCUACUACCGCAUACGACCUAAGGGUGGAAGCAGGGGACCUUCGGGCCUUGCGCGAUUGAAUGAGCCGAUGUCGGAUUAGGUAGUUGGCGGGGUAAAGGCCCACCAAGGCGACGAUCCGUAGCUGGUCUGAGAGGAUGAUCAGCCACACUGGAACUGGGACACGGUCCAGACUCCUACGGGAGGCAGCAGUGGGGAAUAUUGGACAAUGGGCGCAAGCCUGAUCCAGCCAUACCGCGUGGGUGAAGAAGGCCUUCGGGUUGUAAAGCCCUUUUGUUGGGAAAGAAAUCCAGCUGGCUAAUACCCGGUUGGGAUGACGGUACCCAAAGGAUAAGCACCGGCUAACUUCGUGCCAGCCGCCGCCGUAA
Molecule: ribosomal RNA, 506 nt
Filed under: uncultured bacterium
Lineage: Bacteria
Description: partial 16S ribosomal RNA
Rfam family: Bacterial small subunit ribosomal RNA
Source: RNAcentral